RNAcentral lists this ribosomal RNA (253 nucleotides) under uncultured bacterium. RNAcentral's name for it is "partial 16S ribosomal RNA". It matches the Rfam family "Bacterial small subunit ribosomal RNA", at positions 524 to 776 of the family's 1533-position model. The record is from RNAcentral.
UACAGAGGGUGCAAGCGUUGCUCGGAAUUACUGGGCGUAAAGCGUGCGCAGGCGGUUCGUUGUGUCGGCGGUGAAAGCCCCGGGCUUAACCUGGGAAUGGCAUUUGGGACUGCAAGGCUUGAGUGCGGCAGAGGAGACUGGAAUUCCUGGUGUAGCAGUGAAAUGCGUAGAUAUCUGGAGGAACACCGGUGGCGAAGGCGGCAUCCUGGACCGGCAUUGACGCUGAGGAGCGAAAGCCAGGGGAGCAAACGGG